Macadamia integrifolia is the source of this 618-nucleotide long non-coding RNA. RefSeq lists it as uncharacterized. NCBI's taxonomy places the organism in Eukaryota, Viridiplantae, Streptophyta, Magnoliopsida, Proteales, Proteaceae. The record is from RefSeq and is a predicted model, not a curated record. The transcript is spliced from 3 exons.
GAAACAAAAAAAGGAAAGGAGAAAGAGGAGAGGAAAAAGAGAAAGAAGAUGAGAAAAGAAGGAGAAGAAAGAAGAAUAGGAGAGGGAGAAUUGUACAACAGUCUUUCAUACUGUUGUAUACUCAACCGGCUGCUGUUAUUCAGCCAUGGAGGCUACUGAUCUGAAUGCAUGCAAGUGUGUACCUCUCUCCACUUCAAGAAGGUGUUGCUUAAGUCAUAGUUCAGCUAGAGUUUGAAGUGGACUGUUGAUUUAGUUGCAUGCAUGCAUCAAGAACACAAGAAGGAAUCUUAUAAUUACAGUUAUUGAGGAUAUGCGAGGCUAAGACAUUGGUGAAGGAGUUCAAACAUAAGAUUUCAGGUAUUGAAGCUAAAGCAGAAGUGAGCUAGUGAUUAAUUGGAGAUGAAGAAAGAUCAAGGAGUGAUUAAAGACAAGAAUUUGAUACUUUGUGUUAUAUAUUGUAAAUUAAAUAUAAGUGGUAUAAUGAAUUUUACUAUAACUUGUGGGGGAUGUAAUUAAAUGGGCCUAUAUUAUUAUUAUAAGGUUAUCAUUAUAGCUGAUCACCACAUAUAUAUCAUGACUUUUAUGGAAUUUUACAUAUUCUUUGAUUUUAUAGUUGAA